This 111-nucleotide ribosomal RNA is filed under the name Citrobacter freundii. The record is from RNAcentral. RNAcentral also lists the same sequence under 1 other name. Lineage: Bacteria; Pseudomonadati; Pseudomonadota; Gammaproteobacteria; Enterobacterales; Enterobacteriaceae.
GGCGGCUGUAGCGCGGUGGUCCCACCUGACCCCAUGCCGAACUCAGAAGUGAAACGCCGUAGCGCCGAUGGUAGUGUGGGGUCUCCCCAUGCGAGAGUAGGGAACUGCCAG